This 468-nucleotide ribosomal RNA is filed under the name uncultured bacterium. RNAcentral describes it as "partial 16S ribosomal RNA". It matches the Rfam family "Bacterial small subunit ribosomal RNA", at positions 28 to 507 of the family's 1533-position model. The record is from RNAcentral.
GACGAACGCUGGCGGCGUGCUUAACACAUGCAAGUCGAACGGAAAGGCCCUGCUUUUGUGGGGUGCUCGAGUGGCGAACGGGUGAGUAACACGUGAGUAACCUGCCCCUGACUUUGGGAUAACUACAGGAAACUGGGGCUAAUACCGGAGAGGAGCUCCUGCUGCACGGUGGGGGUUGGAAAGUUUCGGCGGUUGGGGAUGGACUCGCGGCUUAUCAGCUUGUUGGUGGGGUAGUGGCUUACCAAGGCUUUGACGGGUAGCCGGCCUGAGAGGGUGACCGGCCACCUUGGUACUGCGGUACGGACCAGUCUCCUACGGUAGGCAGCAGUGGGGAAUAUUGCACAGUGGGCGGACGCCUGAUGCAGCAACGCCGCGUGCGGGAUGACGGCCUUCGGGUUGUAAACCGCUUUCGCCUGUGACGAAGCGUGAGUGACGGUACUGGGUAAAGAAGCACCGGCUAACUACGUG